Molecule: transfer RNA, 25 nt
Filed under: Stereolepis gigas (giant sea bass)
Lineage: Eukaryota; Metazoa; Chordata; Actinopteri; Acropomatiformes; Polyprionidae
Description: partial tRNA-Met
Source: RNAcentral
GUUGGUUAAACUCCUUCCUUCACUA